UUGGAGGGCAAGUCUGGUGCCAGCAGCCGCGGUAAUUCCAGCUCCAAUAGCGUAUAUUAAAGUUGUUGCAGUUAAAAAGCUCGUAGUUGAAUUUCGGGAUCAAUACGUCGGUCGUGCUCUUUUGGUACGCACUGGCGUCAUUGGUUUCUCCUUUCUGACGAACCAUGAUGUCAUUAAUUUGGUGUUAUGGGGAGUUAGGACUGUUACUUUGAAAAAAUUAGAGUGUUUAAAGCAGGCAUUAGCUUGAAUACAUAAGCAUGGAAUAAUGAAAUAGGACGUUCGAUCCUAUUUUGUUGGUUUCUAGGAUCAACGUAAUGAUUAAUAGGGAUAGUUGGGGGCAUUAGUAUUCAAUUGUCAGAGGUGAAAUUCUUGGAUUUAUUGAAGACUAACUACUGCGAAAGCAUUUGCCAAGGAUGUCUUCAUUAAUCAAGAACGAAAGUUAGGGGAUCGAAGACGAUCAGAUACCGUCGUAGUCUUAACCAUAAACUAUGCCGACUAGGGAUCGGAUGAUGUUAAUUUUUUAAUGACUCAUUCGGCGCCUUACGGGAAAC
Molecule: ribosomal RNA, 551 nt
Filed under: uncultured Glomeromycotina
Lineage: Eukaryota; Fungi; Glomeromycota
Description: SSU rRNA
Rfam family: Eukaryotic small subunit ribosomal RNA
Source: RNAcentral